GACGAACGCUGGCGGCGUGCUUAACACAUGCAAGUCGAACGGUAAGGCCCUUCGGGGUACACGAGUGGCGAACGGGUGAGUAACACGUGAGUGAUCUGCCCUGCACUUCGGGAUAAGCCUGGGAAACUGGGUCUAAUACCGGAUAGGACUCCGGACUGCAUGGUCUGGGGUGGAAAGCUUUGGCGGUGUGGGAUGGGCCCGCGGCCUAUCAGCUUGUUGGUGGGGUGAUGGCCUACCAAGGCGACGACGGGUAGCCGGCCUGAGAGGGUGAACGGCCACACUGGGACUGGGUUACGGCCCCGACUCCUACGGGGGGCAGCAGUGGGGAAUCUUGCACAAUGGGCGAAAGCCUGAUGCAGCGACGCCGCGUGAGGGAUGACGGCCUUCGGGUUGUAAACCUCUUUCAGCACAGACGAAGCGCAAGUGACGGUAUGUGCAGAAGAAGGACCGGCCAACUACGUGCCAGCCGCCGCAGUAA
This 478-nucleotide ribosomal RNA is filed under the name uncultured bacterium. RNAcentral describes it as "partial 16S ribosomal RNA". It matches the Rfam family "Bacterial small subunit ribosomal RNA", at positions 28 to 523 of the family's 1533-position model. The record is from RNAcentral.